GACUAACGCUGGCGGCGUGCCUAACACAUGCAAGUCGAGCGGACACCAACUUGUAGCAAUACAGGUGAAGUGUUAGCGGCAGACGGGUGAGUAACACGUAGUCAACCUAUCUUUUCGUCCGGGAUAACUAGCCGAAAGGUUAGCUAAUACCUGAUGCGAUCAUCGAGUGGCAUCAUUUGAUGAUGAAAGCAGCAAUGCGCGGAUUGAGGGGGCUGCGGCCCAUUAGCUAGUUGGUGAGGUAAUGGCCCACCAAGGCAACGAUGGGUAGCUGGUCUGA
RNAcentral lists this ribosomal RNA (277 nucleotides) under uncultured bacterium. Its description in RNAcentral is "partial 16S ribosomal RNA". It matches the Rfam family "Bacterial small subunit ribosomal RNA", at positions 28 to 295 of the family's 1533-position model. The record is from RNAcentral.